UUCAGUCGUUGGCAAUUCGUUAGAUAAGAACCAAGGAUCAAACUCGUACAACCAAAGAAGGUGAAUAAUUGGGACAGGGUCGAUAACUGGUACGCUUAUCUGACAGGUCCGAAUGGUUAUAUGAUCAGGUUUUGACCCCCGGUUAGUGAGGCGAGUUAAAAUGUGCAAGGAGUCCAACCGUGCACCUGCAAAGGUUGAUUCUAAAACCGGAAUAGUGUGUACAAGGAUAUAUAUUGGUUUAGAUUGUUAUCGCGGUAGAAAACCAGAAGCGUUGAACAGGUGGAAUGCUUUAUAAUUUGUUUGUUAUACUGUGAGCUAUUGCCGUGUGGUAUAAUAAUCGCGCGUUACACUGCAAAAUGUCAUUCAUCGCCAUUGCAACGUGUGUACUUUCAUAAUUUCGUUGCGUGACGGCGCGGUACGUAGAAUUAGCAGCUGGUAUAAAGUGGUAUAAAUGUGGAAGUGCGACAGCGACACCGGCGAGUUCUUGUAGAGUCAAGCUCGCAUAGCAACGUCGUGAAAGAAGGAAGCCGUCCAGAUGGGGAGGAUGACGUUACGGGACACGAGAAAAAUGUAAACUGACGAGGCGACGACGAGCUGUGUAACCUUUCUUGUUUGUAAACCGUUAAAGUGGUGUUGCCCCCUUAUAAGGAGAGGUCGGAGUAUCGACCGCAGAGUUUACAAACGUGAGUUCGUGAUGGGCUACUUCAAGAAAAGUUGAAAAAACGCACUUGUAGCUGAUUUUCGCUCGAUUCGUAAUCAGCGACCCC
Molecule: long non-coding RNA, 767 nt
Filed under: Neodiprion pinetum (white pine sawfly)
Lineage: Eukaryota; Metazoa; Arthropoda; Insecta; Hymenoptera; Diprionidae
Description: uncharacterized LOC124220045
Source: RNAcentral